Molecule: ribosomal RNA, 1051 nt
Filed under: uncultured Apibacter sp.
Lineage: Bacteria; Pseudomonadati; Bacteroidota; Flavobacteriia; Flavobacteriales; Weeksellaceae
Description: bacterial SSU rRNA
Rfam family: Bacterial small subunit ribosomal RNA
Source: RNAcentral
UACGGGAGGCAGCAGUGAGGAAUAUUGGACAAUGGGUGAGAGCCUGAUCCAGCCAUCCCGCGUGAAGGACGACAGCCCUAUGGGUUUUAAACUUCUUUUGUAUGGGAAUAAACCACAUUACGCGUAAUGUUCUGAAGGUACCGUACGAAUAAGCAUCGGCUAACUCCGUGCCAGCAGCCGCGGUAAUACGGAGGAUGCGAGCGUUAUCCGGAUUUAUUGGGUUUAAAGGGUCCGUAGGCGGGUUAAUAAGUCAGCGGUGAAAACCUGCAGCUUAACUGUAGAACUGCCGUUGAUACUGUUAAUCUUGAAUAGUAUUGAAGUAGCUGGAAUGUGUAGUGCAGCGGUGAAAUGCAUAGACAUUACACAGAACCCCGAUUGCGAAGGCAGGUUACUAAAUACCGAUUGACGCUGAUGGACGAAAGCGUGGGGAGCGAACAGGAUUAGAUACCCUGGUAGUCCACGCCGUAAACGAUGGAUACUCGUUGUUGGGGAUUACCCCUCAGUGACUAAGCGAAAGUAAUAAGUAUCCCACCUGGGGAGUACGACCGCAAGGUUGAAACUCAAAGGAAUUGACGGGGGCCCGCACAAGCGGUGGAGCAUGUGGUUUAAUUCGAUGAUACGCGAGGAACCUUACCAGGGCUUAAAUGGGAAUUGACGUAUUUAGAAAUAAGUAUUUCUACGGACAAUUUUCAAGGUGCUGCAUGGUUGUCGUCAGCUCGUGCCGUGAGGUGUCAGGUUAAGUCCUAUAACGAGCGCAACCCUUAUCAUUAGUUGCCAACGAGUAAAGUCGGGAACUCUAAUGAGACUGCCGGUGCAAACCGCGAGGAAGGUGGGGAUGACGUCAAAUCAUCACGGCCCUUACGCCCUGGGCCACACACGUGCUACAAUGGCCGGUACAGAGGGCAGCUACUGGGCAACCAGAUGCGAAUCUCAAAAGCCGGUCUCAGUUCGGAUUGGAGUCUGCAACUCGACUCUAUGAAGCUGGAAUCGCUAGUAAUCGCAGAUCAGCCAUGCUGCGGUGAAUACGUUCCCGGGCCUUGUACACACCGCC